Molecule: ribosomal RNA, 506 nt
Filed under: uncultured bacterium
Lineage: Bacteria
Description: partial 16S ribosomal RNA
Rfam family: Bacterial small subunit ribosomal RNA
Source: RNAcentral
AGUGAACGCUGGCGGUAGGCCUAACACAUGCAAGUCGAACGGCAGCACAGGAGAGCUUGCUCUCUGGGUGGCGAGUGGCGGACGGGUGAGGAAUACAUCGGAAUCUACUCUGUCGUGGGGGAUAACGUAGGGAAACUUACGCUAAUACCGCAUACGACCUACGGGUGAAAGCAGGGGACCUUCGGGCCUUGCGCGAUUGAAUGAGCCGAUGUCGGAUUAGCUAGUUGGCGGGGUAAAGGCCCACCAAGGCGACGAUCCGUAGCUGGUCUGAGAGAAUGAUCAGCCACACUGGAACUGAGACACGGUCCAGACCCUUACGGGAGGCAGCAGUGGGGAAUAUUGGACAAUGGGCGCAAGCCUGAUCCAGCCAUACCGCGUGGGUGAAGAAGGCCGUCGGGUUGUAAAGCCCUUUUGUUGGGAAAGAAAUCCAGCUGGCUAAUACCCGGUUGGGAUGACAGUACCCAAAGAAUAAGCACCGGCUAACUUCGUGCCAGCAGCCGCGGUAA